Molecule: ribosomal RNA, 235 nt
Filed under: uncultured bacterium
Lineage: Bacteria
Description: partial 16S ribosomal RNA
Rfam family: Bacterial small subunit ribosomal RNA
Source: RNAcentral
CGGACGGGUGAGUAACGCGUGGGUAACCUACCCUGUACACACAGAUAACAUACCGAAAGGUAUGCUAAUACGGGAUAAUAUAUUUGAGAGGCAUCUCUUGAAUAUCAAAGGUGAGCCAGUACAGGAUGGACCCGCGUCUGAUUAGCUAGUUGGUAAGGUAACGGCUUACCAAGGCGACGAUCAGUAGCCGACCUGAGAGGGUGAUCGGCCACAUUGGAACUGAGACACGGUCCAA